CCUACGGGGGGCAGCAGUGAGGAAUAUUGGUCAAUGGGCGGAAGCCUGAACCAGCCAAGUCGCGUGAGGGAAUAAGGCCCUACGGGUCGUAAACCUCUUUUGCCGGGGAGCAAGGGCCGGGACGAGUCCCGGUCCGGAGAGUACCCGGAGAAAAAGCAUCGGCUAACUCCGUGCCAGCAGCCGCGGUAAUACGGAGGAUGCGAGCGUUAUCCGGAUUUACUGGGUGUAAAGGGCGUGUAGGCGGGAGAGCAAGUCAGAUGUGAAAUUCCAGGGCUCAACCCUGGAACUGCAUUUGAAACUGUUUUGCGUGAGUGAUGGAGAGGCAGGCGGAAUUCCGUGUGUAGCGGUGAAAUGCGUAGAUAUACGGAGGAACACCAGUGGCGAAGGCGGCCUGCUGGACAUUAACUGACGCUGAGGCGCGAAAGCGUGGGGAGCAAACAGGAUUAGAUACCCGGGUAGUC
Molecule: ribosomal RNA, 461 nt
Filed under: uncultured bacterium
Lineage: Bacteria
Description: partial 16S ribosomal RNA
Rfam family: Bacterial small subunit ribosomal RNA
Source: RNAcentral